CAAAGAUUUAUCGCUGGAAGAUGGCCUCGCGUCUGAUUAGCUAGUAGGCGGGGUAACGGCCCACCUAGGCGACGAUCAGUAGCCGGACUGAGAGGUUGACCGGCCACAUUGGGACUGAGAUACGGCCCAGACUCCUACGGGAGGCAGCAGUGGGGAAUAUUGGGCAAUGGGCGCAAGCCUGACCCAGCAACGCCGCGUGAAGGAAGAAGGCUUUCGGGUUGUAAACUUCUUUUAAGAGGGAAGAGCAGAAGACGGUACCUCUUGAAUAAGCCACGGCUAACUACGUGCCAGCAGCCGCGGUAAUACGUAGGUGGCAAGCGUUGCCCGGAUUUACUGGGUGUAAAGGGCGUGCAGCCGGGCUGACAAGUCAGAUGUGAAAUCCCGCGGCUCAACCGCGGAACUGCAUUUGAAACUGUUAGUCUUGAGUACCGGAGAGGUCAUCGGAAUUCCUUGUGUAGCGGUGAAAUGCGUAGAUAUAAGGAAGAACACCAGUGGCGAAGGCGGAUGACUGGACGGCAACUGACGGUGAGGCGCGAAAGCGUGGGGAGCAAACAGGAUUAGAUACCCUGGUAGUCCACGCUGUAAACGAUGGAUACUAGGUGUGCGGGGACUGACCCCCUGC
RNAcentral lists this ribosomal RNA (622 nucleotides) under uncultured bacterium. RNAcentral describes it as "bacterial SSU rRNA". It matches the Rfam family "Bacterial small subunit ribosomal RNA", at positions 202 to 842 of the family's 1533-position model. The record is from RNAcentral.